RNAcentral lists this ribosomal RNA (420 nucleotides) under uncultured bacterium. RNAcentral's name for it is "bacterial SSU rRNA". It matches the Rfam family "Bacterial small subunit ribosomal RNA", at positions 355 to 776 of the family's 1533-position model. The record is from RNAcentral.
UGAGGAAUAUUGCGCAAUGGCCGAAAGGCUGACGCAGCGACGCCGCGUGAAGGAUGAAGUUCGUUAGAAUGUAAACUUCUUUUGUAGGGGAUGAAUGUUCCGUUUUACGGAAUUGACCGUACCCUGCGAAUAAGGAUCGGCUAACUACGUGCCAGCAGCCGCGGUAAUACGUAGGAUCCGAGCGUUGUCCGGAAUUACUGGGUGUAAAGGGCGUGUAGGUGGGUCUCUAAGUCGGUGGUGAAAUCUUGCAGCUCAACUGUAAAAUUGCCAUUGAUACUGGAGGUCUUGAGUGCGGCAGAGGGAAAUAGAAUUCAUGGUGUAGCGGUGAAAUGUGUAGAUAUCAUGAAGAAUACCGGUAGCGAAGGCGGUUUCCUGGUCCGUAACUGACACUGAGGCGCGAAAGCGUGGGGAGCAAACAGG